GGUGGCUCAGUGGUAGAGUGCUUGCCUUGCAUGCAUGAGGCCUUGGGUUCUAUUUCUCAGCACCA
Molecule: transfer RNA, 65 nt
Filed under: Dipodomys ordii (Ord's kangaroo rat)
Lineage: Eukaryota; Metazoa; Chordata; Mammalia; Rodentia; Heteromyidae
Rfam family: tRNA
About the family: Transfer RNA (tRNA) molecules are approximately 80 nucleotides in length.
Source: Rfam by way of RNAcentral